Molecule: transfer-messenger RNA, 379 nt
Filed under: Lachnospiraceae
Lineage: Bacteria; Bacillati; Bacillota; Clostridia; Lachnospirales
Also listed under: 1 other name
Description: Acetatifactor sp017621075 Standard tmRNA
Rfam family: transfer-messenger RNA
About the family: Bacterial tmRNA, also known as 10Sa RNA or SsrA, is named for its dual tRNA and mRNA-like properties.
Source: RNAcentral
GGGGUAGUAAAGGUUUCGACAGGGGCUUUGCAGCUGGAGAAGCUAUCCGUUGUGACACGUUAAUCACACAAUUAAACUAAACGCUGAAGAUAAUUUAGCAUUCGCAGCGUAAGCUGUGAAGAAGCGCCGUCCCAGAUGACGGCUGUCCGCUCUUUAGCACUCACACUUUAGAAUCCGGGCAUCAUCCAUGUGAGAAACGACUUGCGUUAAGCUUUGCGCGCAUGGGCGUAACAUGAAGCUACCGAAUGCAGAAGGCUGUUCGUUUCCUUGUGCAGGAGGGAACAGGCAGAAGAGAGUUCUGCCGGGAUAACGGACUAUGAUAGUAGAAGGACAGGGAAUGGGCUUUUGGACACGGGUUCGACUCCCGUCUACUCCACUU